This 467-nucleotide ribosomal RNA is filed under the name uncultured bacterium. RNAcentral's name for it is "partial 16S ribosomal RNA". It matches the Rfam family "Bacterial small subunit ribosomal RNA", at positions 28 to 507 of the family's 1533-position model. The record is from RNAcentral.
GAUGAACGCUGGCGGCGCGCCUAACACAUGCAAGUCGAACGAUUAAAGCACCUUCGGGUGUGUAUAAAGUGGCGAACGGCUGAGUAACACGUGGGCAACCUGCCCCUUUCAUUGGGAUAGCCACGGGAAACCGUGGAUAAUACCGAAUACUUCGAGACUUCCGCAUGGAAGACUCGAGAAAGCUCCGGCGGAGAGGGAUGGGCCCGCGGCCUGUUAGCUUGUUGGUGGGGUAACGGCCUACCAAGGCAAUGAUGGGUAGCUGGGUUGAGAGACCGACCAGCCAGAUUGGGACUGAGACACGGCCCAGACUCCUACGGGAGGCAGCAGUGGGGAAUCUUGCACAAUGGGCGAAAGCCUGAUGCAGCGACGCCGCGUGCGGGUUGAAGGCCUUCGGGUUGUAAACCGCUUUCAGCAGGGACGAGGCGAAAGUGACGGUACCUGCAGAAGAAGCCCCGGCUAACUACGUG